GUUGCAGUCCCCUUUUCCCCUGUUCAAUGAGGUACAGCCUCUUGUCCCACGACCAAGAAGAACAAGGCACGCAGACACCAGUGGGGGCUCAUUGGACUUCCUCACAACAUGGCCUCAGCAUUCCAAGAGAGGAAGGAAGUGUGUGGCAUUUUUAUGAUCCAAUCUCAUAAGUGACAUAACAGCACUUCUGCCAUACUCCAAUGGCUGCAGCAGUCACAAAGCUCCACUCAGUCUCCAGGAGAGGGGACGUAGACUCCACCACUCUAUGGGAGGAAUGUCAAGGUCACAUCAAGAUCUUGUUGCAGCCAACAUUGGAAAAUACAAUCUGAUGCAGGACUUGACCCUCAGAUAAUAGGUGGGUUGGAGCCAGAUUCUGAAGGUUUCCAGGCAAAGUGGGAGGUUUGGAGUCCAUCCUGGAGUCAGUGGGAACCAGAGAUAUUGGAGCAGAGAAGUGAAAUGGAAACAGAGGACUAAAAAAAGGUAACUAAAUAGAAAAGACAAGAAUUACAGUCUCCUGAGAUUGUCCCAUUUAAUAUGGCCAGGAUUUUAUUGUCUGAUGCCUUAUCUUUUGUGUUUUGAAGACGAGCCAGACUGACACUAUCAUAAAAAUUAUCAAAUUUAUUCCCAAUGAUUUUGUGUUACUGCACCAAUUUUGUUCCACAAUAGAACUAAAAGCUAAUGGAGGCCUAUAUGUGGCAAUAUGAGUAUGCAAAGUAAAUCAGCAUGUACCAGUUUAUGGAAGUGAUCUUGUUUUAUUCUAUUAGAAAAAAAAUGAUUUUCAUUGUUUAUCAUAGCACUGACUACACACAAAGCGCUAUUCUCUCGCCCCCAUUUGAGGUCUACGUUGGAGGUUUUCUACACACAGGAAGUGUUGGCUUCAGUGGAAAACUUUUGAACAACACAUGACAUUCUCACACAUCUACAGAAUGUGGAUGUGAUUUCAGGUUUAGCAUGGAAGUUUAGUAGCCUGUAAGGAAAGGCUGUGGAGUAAAUUAUUAGUAAAGUAUUCAUCAAAGAAAAUAGUCUAAAAUCUUUUAAGAGCAACAGUAUGUAUUUCUUUCUUUUUGCCAAGAACCUAUUUAAUUUUUAUGCUACAGAAAUACACACUUUUAUCCAUCACAAGUUUAGGUCAAACAUUGUAUCUAAAGACAUUUAAAGAAAUCCAAAAGAGUAAUACUAAAUUAAAGAUACUAUGUAGAAUUUUUUGUACCCAAAAAAUUUCCUAGUACAUUUAUUUCAUCUAUUUCAACAGCUGUAUAUGCAGCCUUCGAUUUACUAGAAAUCUCUCAGCUUAUUUAUGUCUCCCAAUUGCAUUUUUCAUUGCUUGUUUAAUAAGAAGAUAUACGGAUAACUUCAGCCAUUUUUUCCAAGUAUCCCUCGUUAAAAAUCACAGGAAAUGAUUCUCGAAUAAAAUAAAGGUUACAUGUACCUUAGACUUUACAAAUCAGUACUUAUAUAGAAAGAGACAUAUUGUUUUAUGAAAAGAUAUUGGUUUAAUGAUCUAUAUGGAAGUAAUAUUUCAUUCUUAAAAUAACUCUAGUUUUCAUAAGGGAUCCAGUUUUGUACUCACAAUGCGUUUUACGCUGGGGAGAUCUGCCAUUUCCAUAGAACUGAUAUACAGUGUCUUCACUUUUGAAGCCAAGGUAGGGAACAUUCUCUCUCAGAGUAGGCACACAGGAGAAUCUUGCACCUUAUUUGUUUCACAUGUUUAAAUAUUGUCUUUAUCUUCCAAGUGUUUCAAAUUUCUUAAGGUCUGAGACAGUAUCUCUUCCUUGUUAAGGCGUUAAAUAAGAACUUACUGAACUGUUGGAUUCUGUACAAGAAGUAAUGGCUAAACUUACUGCAAUCU
This 1849-nucleotide long non-coding RNA is filed under the name Homo sapiens (human). RNAcentral's name for it is "HSALNT0146756". Lineage: Eukaryota; Metazoa; Chordata; Mammalia; Primates; Hominidae. The record is from RNAcentral.